This 275-nucleotide ribosomal RNA is filed under the name uncultured Adhaeribacter sp. RNAcentral describes it as "partial 16S ribosomal RNA". It matches the Rfam family "Bacterial small subunit ribosomal RNA", at positions 338 to 611 of the family's 1533-position model. Lineage: Bacteria; Pseudomonadati; Bacteroidota; Cytophagia; Cytophagales; Hymenobacteraceae. The record is from RNAcentral.
CCUACGGGUGGCUGCAGUAGGGAAUAUUGGGCAAUGGGCGAAAGCCUGACCCAGCCAUGCCGCGUGCAGGAAGAAGGCCUUCUGGGUUGUAAACUGCUUUUAUCUGGGAAGAAAACACCUAUGCGUAGGGAACUGACGGUACCAGAUGAAUAAGCACCGGCUAACUCCGUGCCAGCAGCCGCGGUAAUACGGAGGGUGCAAGCGUUGUCCGGAUUUAUUGGGUUUAAAGGGUGCGUAGGCGGCCCGUUAAGUCAGUGGUGAAAGCCUCCAGCUCA